RNAcentral lists this unclassified non-coding RNA (336 nucleotides) under uncultured Hygrophoraceae. RNAcentral's name for it is "sequence contains 5.8S rRNA gene". The stretch from base 1 to 53 matches the Rfam family "5.8S ribosomal RNA", at positions 102 to 154 of the family's 154-position model. Lineage: Eukaryota; Fungi; Basidiomycota; Agaricomycetes; Agaricales; Hygrophoraceae. The record is from RNAcentral.
GAACGCACCUUGCGCCUCUUGGUAUUCCGAGGGGCAUGCCUGUUUGAGUGUCAUUGAAACCCUCAAGAGGGGAGGCUUUUUGUGCCUUCUUCUUUUGGAAUUGGAGUGUGCUGGCCUUUUUUUUUUUUAGAAGCCCAGCUCCUCUGAAAUGCAUUAGCGAUGUGACAUCCUCGUGCCAUCACGCUUCUCCAGCAUUGAUAAGUCUCUUUCAUGCUCGAGUGUGUUGUGCUUAGGUGGAAAGUUUUGCUCGCUCACAGACCCAUUGGGGGCUUUGCCUCCCCCAUGCUUCUGACCAAAUUAACCUCAAAUCAGGUAGGAUUACCCGCUGAACUUAAG